CCUACGGGCGGCAGCAGUGAGGAAUAUUGGUCAAUGGCCGGAAGGCUGAACCAGCCAAGCCGCGUGAGGGAGGAAGGCGCAGAGCGUCGCAGACCUCUUUUGCCGGGGGACAAAAGGUCGGACGGGUCCGGUUCUGAGGGUACCCGGAGAAAAAGCAUCGGCUAACUCCGUGCCAGCAGCCGGGGUAAUACGGAGGAUGCGAGCGUUAUCCGGAUUCAUUGGGUUUAGGGGGUGCGCAGGCGUGCCUUUAAGCCGGCGGAGAAGCGCGGGGCUCAACCCCGACGAGCCGUCGGUACUGGGGGCCGUGAGUGCGGCGGAGGCAUGCAGAAUGCGAGGUGUAGCGGUGAAAUGCGUAGAGAUCGGGCGGAACCCCGAUGGCGAAGGCGGCGUGCCGUGC
RNAcentral lists this ribosomal RNA (397 nucleotides) under uncultured bacterium. Its description in RNAcentral is "partial 16S ribosomal RNA". It matches the Rfam family "Bacterial small subunit ribosomal RNA", at positions 338 to 734 of the family's 1533-position model. The record is from RNAcentral.